AGCAGCCGCGGUAAUUCCAGCUCCAAUAGCGUAUAUUAAAGUUGUUGCAGUUAAAAAGCUCGUAGUUGAAUUUCGGGAUUAAUGGAUCGGUCAUGCCGUUGGUAUGUACUGAUUUUAUUGAUUCUCACCUUCUAAAGAACCAUAAUGCCAUUAAUUUGGUGUUGUGGGGAAUUAGGACUGUUACCUUGAAAAAAUUAGAGUGUUUAAAGCAGGCAUACGCUUGAAUACAUUAGCAUGGAAUAACGAAAUAGGACAUCGCAUUCUAUUUUGUUGGUUUCUAGGAUCGAUGUAAUGAUUAAUAGGGAUAGUUGGGGGCAUUAGUAUUCAAUUGUCAGAGGUGAAAUUCUUGGAUUUAUUGAAGACUAACUACUGCGAAAGCAUUUGCCAAGGAUGUUUCAUUAAUCAAGAACGAAGUUAGGGGAUCGAAGACGAUCAGAUACCGUGUAGUCUUAACCCAUAAACUAUGCCGACGUAGGAUCGGAUGAUUGUUUAAUUUUUUAAUGUACUACG
RNAcentral lists this ribosomal RNA (510 nucleotides) under uncultured fungus. RNAcentral's name for it is "SSU rRNA". It matches the Rfam family "Eukaryotic small subunit ribosomal RNA", at positions 569 to 1078 of the family's 1831-position model. Lineage: Eukaryota; Fungi. The record is from RNAcentral.